UCCCUGGUAGUCCAGAGGUUAAGACUCCAUGCUGCCAAUGCAGGGGUCCCAGGGUUCAAUCCCUGGUCAGGGAA
This 74-nucleotide transfer RNA is filed under the name Ovis aries (sheep). It matches the Rfam family "tRNA". Rfam says of the family: Transfer RNA (tRNA) molecules are approximately 80 nucleotides in length. Their secondary structure includes four short double-helical elements and three loops (D, anti-codon, and T loops). Further hydrogen bonds mediate the characteristic L-shaped molecular structure. tRNAs have two regions of fundamental functional importance: the anti-codon, which is responsible for specific mRNA codon recognition, and the 3' end, to which the tRNAs corresponding amino acid is attached (by aminoacyl-tRNA synthetases). tRNAs cope with the degeneracy of the genetic code in two manners: having more than one tRNA (with a specific anti-codon) for a particular amino acid; and 'wobble' base-pairing, i.e. permitting non-standard base-pairing at the 3rd anti-codon position. Lineage: Eukaryota; Metazoa; Chordata; Mammalia; Artiodactyla; Bovidae. The record is from Rfam by way of RNAcentral.